The sequence is a regulatory RNA element, 124 nucleotides long. It matches the Rfam family "Ribosomal protein L20 leader". Rfam says of the family: This family is a putative r-protein leader autoregulatory structure found in B. subtilis and other low-GC Gram-positive bacteria. It is located in the 5' untranslated regions of mRNAs encoding initiation factor 3 followed by ribosomal proteins L35 and L20 (infC-rpmI-rplT). The record is from Rfam.
AGAUAAAAGCAGAGGCUUCCCGCUUCUCGCCUUAGUGAUACUGAUUGCUGGGCUUUUACGGAUUAAUGACCUAUUUAAUAGGUGUAGCGGGUAUUCAGCUGAAUGCCCGCUAUUUUUCUGCUUU